GUUAGGAAUAUUGGACAAUGGGCGCAAGCCUGAUCCAGCCAUGCCGCGUGAGUGAUGAAGGCCUUCGGGUUGUAAAGCUCUUUAGUCCACGAAUAUAAUGACUGUAGUGGAAGAAUAAGCCCCGGCUAACUUCGUGCCAGCAGCCGCGGUAAUACGAAGGGGGCGAGCGUUAUUCGGAAUCACUGGGCGUAAAGCGUGCGUAGGCUGUUUUGUAAGUCAGAAGUGAAAGCCCAGGGCUGAACCCUGGAAUUGCUUUUGAAACUACAAGACUCUGAUUCGGUAGAGGAUAGCGGAAUUGGCAGUGUAGCAGUGAAAUGCGUAGAUAUUGACAGGAACACCAGUGGCGCAAGCGGCUAUCUGGACCGAUAUUGACGCUGAGGCACGAAAGCGUGGGGAGCAAACAGGAUUAGAUACCCCAGUAGUCC
RNAcentral lists this ribosomal RNA (425 nucleotides) under uncultured bacterium. Its description in RNAcentral is "partial 16S ribosomal RNA". It matches the Rfam family "Bacterial small subunit ribosomal RNA", at positions 354 to 796 of the family's 1533-position model. The record is from RNAcentral.